RNAcentral lists this ribosomal RNA (342 nucleotides) under uncultured soil bacterium. RNAcentral's name for it is "bacterial SSU rRNA". It matches the Rfam family "Bacterial small subunit ribosomal RNA", at positions 26 to 395 of the family's 1533-position model. The record is from RNAcentral.
AGAACGAACGCUGGCGGCAUGCCUAAUACAUGCAAGUCGAACGAACUCUUCGGAGUUAGUGGCGCACGGGUGCGUAACGCGUGGGAAUCUGCCCCUUGGUUCGGAAUAACAGUUGGAAACGACUGCUAAUACCGGAUGAUGACGAAAGUUCAAAGAUUUAUCGCCAAGGGAUGAGCCCGCGUAGGAUUAGCUAGUUGGUGAGGUAAAGGCUCACCAAGGCAACGAUCCUUAGCUGGUCUGAGAGGAUGAUCAGCCACACUGGGACUGAGACACGGCCCAGACUCCUACGGGGAGCAGCAGUAGGGAAUAUUGGACAAGUGGGACAAAGCCUGAUCCAGCAAU